GUCUACAGCCAUGCUACCCUGAACAAGCCUGAUUCCGUCUGAUCUCAGAAGCUAAGCAGGGCCAGGCCCGGUUAGUACUGGAUGGGAGACCACCUAGGAAGACUAAAAAAUAAUAAUAA
RNAcentral lists this ribosomal RNA (119 nucleotides) under Pteropus alecto (black flying fox). Lineage: Eukaryota; Metazoa; Chordata; Mammalia; Chiroptera; Pteropodidae. The record is from RNAcentral.